This 368-nucleotide ribosomal RNA is filed under the name uncultured organism. RNAcentral describes it as "bacterial SSU rRNA". It matches the Rfam family "Bacterial small subunit ribosomal RNA", at positions 526 to 896 of the family's 1533-position model. The record is from RNAcentral.
CGGAGGGUGCAAGCGUUAUCCGGAUUCACUGGGUUUAAAGGGUGUGUAGGCGGGCUAUUAAGUCAGUGGUGAAAUCUCCAGGCUCAACCUGGAAACUGCCAUUGAUACUAUUAGUCUUGAAUUCUGUUGAGGUAGGCGGAAUAUAUCAUGUAGCGGUGAAAUGCUUAGAUAUGAUAUAGAACACCGAUUGCGAAGGCAGCUUACUAAGCAGAUAUUGACGCUGAGGCACGAAAGCGUGGGGAUCAAACAGGAUUAGAUACCCUGGUAGUCCACGCCCUAAACGAUGAUUACUCGACAUACGCGAUAUACUGUGUGUGUCUGAGCGAAAGCAUUAAGUAAUCCACCUGGGAAGUACGUCCGCAAGGAUG